UAUCACCAGUUCCCGUACGCUCUCAGAAGCUAAGCAAUGUUGAGUCUGGUCAGUAACAAGGUAGGUGACCGCUUGUGAAUUUAGGUUG
Molecule: non-coding RNA, 88 nt
Organism: Acanthosepion pharaonis
Lineage: Eukaryota; Metazoa; Mollusca; Cephalopoda; Sepiida; Sepiidae
Source: the annotation of a GenBank genome assembly